This is a small nucleolar RNA of Lathyrus oleraceus (garden pea), 107 nucleotides long. The record is from RefSeq and is a predicted model, not a curated record. Lineage: Eukaryota; Viridiplantae; Streptophyta; Magnoliopsida; Fabales; Fabaceae.
AAGCCAAUGGAAAGGGCAAAGCCUUAACAAGUCCUUAAAACACUCCCACGCGUCAAACAAAGAUUACCCCUCUUCUUAUCUAAAAUUAUUUAUCUCGUUCCUAACUU